Molecule: long non-coding RNA, 1293 nt
Organism: Nicotiana tabacum (common tobacco)
Lineage: Eukaryota; Viridiplantae; Streptophyta; Magnoliopsida; Solanales; Solanaceae
Source: RefSeq, a predicted model, not a curated record
CAAAUAACAACUGUAAUUCACAAUUUGAGCAGUAAAUGGAGGAACGGGAUUGCAAUAGUCAAAACAACCGGCCGGGUUAUUACAGUUGAUUCACUGGAUGCUUCACUUGUACAAUUUUAUAGUAAAUAACAUGUUUCUCUACUUAUUAUUAGGUGGUUCACUUAAAACUAUAGCAGAUAGUGGACUACCCAAAAUUGAGGAAGCGUUCCAAAAUCUGUAGGAUCAUCUAAAUACUUCUGACAUCAAGCGAGGUGAAGAGCUUAAGAUGGUUUUUCUCUUACACUUGAUAUAUAGUACACUUCAAUUUAUUUAUUUUUUGAGAUUUUGGUGUCAUUAAGAUUGAGAUUGCUUCUUAUUCAUCUAAAUACUUCUGACUAAUGUGAUUGGCUUAUCAUUACUGGUUCCGAUGCAAUUAAAUGUUCAUGCCUUUGGCAGAUGAAGAGGAGAUUGAUCAACAGUAAACAUACAUCUCCACAGUCCACUGGUGCGGAAAAGGUUACUUCAUCUUAUGAGAAGUCAUUUUCAUCAGUUAAAUCAUUUUGACAUUUGCCUAAUGAAACUAGAUCAUCAGCUGCUAUGACACCUUCUGAUUCAUCUACCAUCCCAAAUGCAAAUUCUAGUGCGACGAAUAGUUCAGAAACCAAUAGUUAGCUCCUUUGUAACCGCAAAGUAAGCAGGGUUUUGGAGGUGCUGGCAAUUUUCAGUGACGUAUGUUUAUAAAAAAGGUGGAAAAAGUUAAGAGACAAAAGAGGGAAAGCACAAUAAAGUACAGGUUCUGAUACAACUAGGUAUUCAUGCCUUUGCAGAUGAAGAGGAGAUGGUUCAAUCUGAACAUAGCUCUCCACGGUCCGUAGGUGCUGAAAAGGUAAUGCAUCUCCAAUUUAGCGGGACGUGCAAGAGCUCACUUUAAAUGAGAAAGUCUUCUUCAGUGAAAUCAUUGUGCCAUUUGCCUAGAGAAACUAUACGAGCUGCAAUGACACCAUCUUGUAUCCCUACAGUCUCGAUUGCAAAUUCUAGCGCGAGGAAGAUUGCAGAAACCAAAAGUUACCUCCUUUGUAAAAAGGUCAGAGUGUACAAAUCCAGAUAUAGGUGUACAAAUCCAGAGUUCCCCAGUGAGAAGUAUAGUUAAUCAUGUAUUACAGUAGAGGCAUGUUACUUACCUUAUCGUGUCUAAAACACAGAGGCUAAAACGAAUCAAGGAUAAUUAUAGCUUUCUGUUUGAAGUAUUUUUAUAUUUUUGUUUGUGGAACAUUAAAGUGUUUGUGGAAGUAAAGUGGUAUUAUUACGGACGUA